GACGAACGCUGGCGGCGUGCCUAAUACAUGCAAGUUGAGCGCUGAAGGUUGGUACUUGUACCAACUGGAUGAGCAGCGAACGGGUGAGUAACGCGUGGGGAAUCUGCCUUUGAGCGGGGGACAACAUUUGGAAACGAAUGCUAAUACCGCAUAAAAACUUUAAACACAAGUUUUAAGUUUGAAAGAUGCAAUUGCAUCACUCAAAGAUGAUCCCGCGUUGUAUUAGCUAGUUGGUGAGGUAAAGGCUCACCAAGGCGAUGAUACAUAGCCGACCUGAGAGGGUGAUCGGCCACAUUGGGACUGAGAACCGGCCCAAACCCCUACGGGAGGCAGCAGUAGGGAAUCUUCGGAAAUGGACGAAAGGCUGACCGAGCAACGCCGCGUGAGUGAAGAAGGUUUUCGGAUAGUAAAACUCGGUUGGUAGAGAAGAACGUUGGGGGGAGUGGAAAGCUCAUCAAGGGACGGUAACUACCCAGAAAGGGACGGAUAACUACGU
Molecule: ribosomal RNA, 496 nt
Filed under: uncultured bacterium
Lineage: Bacteria
Description: partial 16S ribosomal RNA
Rfam family: Bacterial small subunit ribosomal RNA
Source: RNAcentral